Molecule: ribosomal RNA, 561 nt
Filed under: uncultured bacterium
Lineage: Bacteria
Description: partial 16S ribosomal RNA
Rfam family: Bacterial small subunit ribosomal RNA
Source: RNAcentral
UGGGGAAUAUUGGACAAUGGGCGCAAGCCUGAUCCAGCCAUGCCGCGUGAGUGAUGAAGGCCUUAGGGUUGUAAAGCUCUUUCGCCGGUGAAGAUAAUGACGGUAACCGGAGAAGAAGCCCCGGCUAACUUCGUGCCAGCAGCCGCGGUAAUACGAAGGGGGCUAGCGUUACUCGGAAUCACUGGGCGUAAAGCGCACGUAGGCGGAUCGUUAAGUCAGGGGUGAAAUCCUGGAGCUCAACUCCAGAACUGCCCUUGAUACUGGCGAUCUCGAGUUCGAGAGAGGUUGGUGGAACUCCGAGUGUAGAGGUGAAAUUCGUAGAUAUUCGGAAGAACACCAGUGGCGAAGGCGGCCAACUGGCUCGAUACUGACGCUGAGGUGCGAAAGCGUGGGGAACAAACAGGAUUAGAUACCCUGGUAGUCCACGCCGUAAACGAUGGAUGCUAGCCGUUGGGGGGUUUACCUCUCAGUGGCGCAGCUAACGCCUUAAGCAUCCCGCCUGGGGAGUACGGUCGCAAGAUUAAAACUCAAAGGAAUUGACGGGGUCAUAGCUGUUUUCCU